RNAcentral lists this ribosomal RNA (208 nucleotides) under uncultured bacterium. Its description in RNAcentral is "partial 16S ribosomal RNA". It matches the Rfam family "Bacterial small subunit ribosomal RNA", at positions 568 to 774 of the family's 1533-position model. The record is from RNAcentral.
CUCGUAGGCGGUUCAACAAGUCGGUCGUGAAAGCCCGGGGCUCAACCCCGGGACGCCGGUCGAAACUGUUGUGACUAGGGUCCGGUAGAGGUGAGUGGAAUUCUCGGUGUAGCGGUGGAAUGCGCAGAUAUCGAGAGGAACACCAGUAGCGAAGGCGGCUCACUGGGCCAGUACCGACGCUGAGGAGCGAAAGCAUGGGGAGCAAACA